Non-coding RNA from Pelobates cultripes (western spadefoot toad), 366 nucleotides. The record is from the annotation of a GenBank genome assembly. Lineage: Eukaryota; Metazoa; Chordata; Amphibia; Anura; Pelobatidae.
UGGAUAUAUUCUAAAAAGCCUAAGUAAAUAUGAUAAAACGUUAUUGUAAAUCUACAGCAAUUUAAAGGUAUUAUAUCGCUAAGUGACACGUAGUCUUCUUGGCCUUAAACUAAAGAGAUGAUGAAAAUGAAAAUUUAUUUUUAACAAUGCUAUCAAUAUUUGUAAAGGUAGGAGGUAGGGUAGGCUUUAUUGCGUAAUCUUAAACAAUAUAAAUUAUCUGCACAUUAUAUCAUUUAAAAAAAGCUUUCAAACUGUGUUAUUAAAAGCUUAUUUCUGCCGAUUCAUAUACACAUUCUACAAAAGGUGCUGCACAAUCAUGGUCCAAGUAUAUUCUAAAGGUCAAAUUAUUGCCAGCUAACGUAUUAC